This 706-nucleotide long non-coding RNA is filed under the name Salmo salar (Atlantic salmon). RNAcentral describes it as "lncRNA (ENSSSAG00000097948.1)". Lineage: Eukaryota; Metazoa; Chordata; Actinopteri; Salmoniformes; Salmonidae. The record is from RNAcentral.
GUGAUACCAUGUCAGAAGUGGUUCUAGGUAUGUAUUGUUGGAGAGUGAUACCAUGUCAGAAAUGGUUCUAGGUAUGUAUUGUUGGAGAGAGUGAUACCAUGUCAGAAGUGGUUCUAGGUAUGUAUUGUUGGAGAGAGUGAUACAUGUCAGAAGUGGUUCUAGGUAUGUAUUGUUGGAGAGAGCGAUACCAUGUCAGAAGUGGUUCUAGGUAUGUAUUGUUGGAGAGAGUGAUACAUGUCAGAAGUGGUUCUAGGUAUGUAUUGUUGGAGAGUGAUACCAUGUCAGAAGUGGUUCUAGGUAUGUAUUGUUGGAGAGAGCGAUACCAUGUCAGAAGUGGUUCUAGGUAUGUAUUGUUAGAGAGUGAUACCACGUCAGAAGUGGUUCCAGGUAUGUAUUGUUAGAGAGUGAUACCAUGCUUGUCUGAAGUGUUUACAGGUCAGAGGUCAUAGGACCACUAAGGGCUGAGGCCUAGAUAAGACACCCAGGAACCCUGAUCCAUCGUAAUGCUACCCUGGACACCCAGAGACCCUGGUCCAUAGUAAUGCCCUAUAUAGGGAGAAGGGUUCCAUUUGGGACGCAGAGCCAAAGUCUCAGUCUGGGCGGAGGUCCUCAAAGAUACAUUAUACAGUCCACAUUGUGUGGUCCUUUGUGCUUUUAUUUCAGUCAGAUACAUUAUACAGUCCACAUUUUUUGUGGUCCUUUGUGC